Long non-coding RNA from Triticum dicoccoides, 1233 nucleotides. RefSeq lists it as uncharacterized. The transcript has 4 exons. The record is from RefSeq and is a predicted model, not a curated record. NCBI's taxonomy places the organism in Eukaryota, Viridiplantae, Streptophyta, Magnoliopsida, Poales, Poaceae.
AAAAAACCUGGGAGGUGGGAGUUGUCCCUGGUUAACCUACAAAAUUUCGUAGAUUUUUUUAGGACGAAAAAAAACCGUGGAAGGUGGGACUAAAAAAACCUGGAAGCGAGACUACCAACUGCUCCCUUAGGAGUAGAGAUUCAUGGGAUCACCAACUUUUGGCGUUUGUUGAUACUAGCUAUGUGGGGCCAUGAAUUCCUAGAAGAUUGUGGCAAUUAUCCUGCUUCGCUUGCAAGAUUGGUUUCUAAAAAUAUCAUGGUAGUUAUAAUUUCAGAUUGCUGCUGAUUUGACUAAAUAUGUUUUGAUUGUUUUUAAGCUUUGACUCUUUACUGUGUGCACAACUAAUUCAUUCCUAAUUAAAUCUUUCAAUGGUUGAUGGGAACACUACAGAUCUUGCUUCUCUGCUUUUUAAUGUUUCAUAUGUUUUCAUGUACAAACCGAGGCAUGCGGAUGCGGGGGCGAUGGCGGGCAUCUCCGGCAGCGGCGGCGACCUGCAGGCAAGAGGCAACGACUGGGGUGUUCGAUUCGAUCCAGCGCCAUGGCCUGGUCCCUGCAGGAGAGAGAGAUGAGGGACAGAGAGAGAAGGAAGGAGAGGAGGGACAAAGAGAGAGGGAGGUGAAUGCACUGGACUCUUCAAGAUCGAGCGCACCAUUGGAAAGGCCGAGUACGUCCAUCGACAGCCUGCCCAUUGUCCGGAUUCACCAAGCAGUACAACCGGAGAUGCUGUCGGCUGCCUGCAGGCACCAAACCGCCCGCUGUUGUCUCUGCCUGAAGAAGGAUUAUGGUUCUCCACCCCUUUGCUACUCAUAUUAAAAUUCCGUUCAAGGAUUGGUGGUCGAGCACUAUGAUCUUUGCACACUAAGGUUCGGUUGUGUUGUUUGAGAAAUAUAUGUCCUACAAGUCUCAUGUGUCUUGUCUUGUUUACGCUUUCCAAGCUACAAGCUUUUGAUAUACUUCAAACGUGAUUCUUUAUAUGUUGUUUGUUCUAUCAAUCGUAAAAUGUAAAUUAGCAAUUAGGCGUCGACAUAGUAUAGUGGAACCAUUGUGCUUGAUGCAGUUUUAUUUUAGUGUUGAAAUGUUUUUCUUAGUUUGUUUGGUGUUGAGAAAUAUAUUCGUUUUCCAGCAAUUGUUUUCUAAAUCCUAUCAACACAUUACCUGAUAUGGCCUUUGAAGUUUCUGUUUUAUAACGAUCUUUGUUGCAGUGGUCAACUUGAGUAUGGUAUAGCUUAUUCU